Molecule: ribosomal RNA, 497 nt
Filed under: uncultured bacterium
Lineage: Bacteria
Description: partial 16S ribosomal RNA
Rfam family: Bacterial small subunit ribosomal RNA
Source: RNAcentral
GAUGAACGCUGGCGGCGUGCCUAAUACAUUUAAGUCGAGCGAACAGACGAGGAGCUUGCUCCUCUUACGUUAGCGGCGGACGGUUUAUUAACACGUGGAUAACCUACCUAUAAGACUGUGAUAACUUCGGGAAACCGGCGCUACUACCGUAUAAUAUAUUUAUCCUCAUGUUUCAAUAUUGAAAGACUGUUUUUCUGUCACUUAUUGCUUGAUCCGCGCCUCAUUAGCUAGUUGGUAAGGUAACGGCUUACCAAGGCAACGAUGCGUAGUCGACCUUAGAGGGUGAUCGGCCACACUGGAACUGAGAAACGGUCCAGACUCCUACGGGAGGCAGCAGUAGGGAAUCUUCCGCAAUGGGCGAAAGCUUGACGGAGCAACGCCGCGUGAGUGAUGAAGGUCUUCGGAUCGUAAAACUCUGUUAUUAGGGAAGAACAAAUGUGUAAGUAACUAUGCACGUCUUGAAGGUACCUAAUCAGAAAGCCACGGCUAACUAAGUG